GCAAGUCGAACGGGGUUUAUAUAGCGGAACUCUCCGGAGGGAAGCCGUAUAAACCUAGUGGCGGACGGGUGAGUAACGCGUGGGGAACCUGCCCUGUACCGGGGGACAACAGCCAGAAAUGGCUGCUAAUACCGCAUAACCCUGCACUGCCGCAUGGCGGUGCAGGGAAAACUCCGGUGGUACAGGAUGGCCCCGCGUCUGAUUAGCUUGUUGGCGGGGUAACGGCCCACCAAGGCAACGAUCAGUAGCCGGCUUGAGAGAGCGGAC
This 267-nucleotide ribosomal RNA is filed under the name uncultured bacterium. RNAcentral describes it as "partial 16S ribosomal RNA". It matches the Rfam family "Bacterial small subunit ribosomal RNA", at positions 57 to 305 of the family's 1533-position model. The record is from RNAcentral.